Molecule: ribosomal RNA, 266 nt
Filed under: uncultured Bacillus sp.
Lineage: Bacteria; Bacillati; Bacillota; Bacilli; Caryophanales; Bacillaceae
Description: partial 16S ribosomal RNA
Rfam family: Bacterial small subunit ribosomal RNA
Source: RNAcentral
CUAACGCGUGAAGGCGAGCACUCUAGACGAACUGCCGUUGACAAAACGGAGGAAGGUGGGGGAUGACGUCAAAUCAUCAUGCCCCUUAUGUUCUGGGCUACACACGUGCUACAAUGGCCGGUACAGACGGACGCAAAGCCGCGAGGUGGAGCAAAUCCUAAAAAGCCGGUCUCAGUUCGGAUUGCAGGCUGCAAUUCGCCUGCAUGAAGUCGGAAUCGCUAGUAAUCGCAGGUCAGCAUACUGCGGUGAAUACGUUCCCGGGCCUU